GCCCACUUUCCCCAAAUCUCUGGGGGUUCUUUUUAAAAUUUUGAUAUUGAUUUUUUUUCUUGGUUUAAAAAUAACCUGAAAUACACGCAUGCACACAUACACACAUACACACAAAAAAAAGAAAAAAGAAGCAGGAGCCCAUGGCUCAGCCCUGGGGUACAGGAAGAGCAACAGGAAGGUUGGUUCGUGGUGCUGGAGAAAGUCUCUGCAAGGCUUAAAGGAGCAUCCCAUUUCCACAGGAAAAACCAUCUUUCACCGCAGAAAAGCCUGUCCUUCAUUUAUGGAAGCCAGAAGCUGUCAGGAGAGAAAAGCUGAAGAUUGACAGAGGAAAGACACAGCAAAAGUGCUCCCAGAACAUUGUACAAAAAAGAUAAUCUUAAGAUGUUGACCUCUUACAGAAGUGUGUAUAAUCAAAGUGAAAAACAGCAAUAUAAUGUCCUGGUUGUUCCCUAAAUGGAAGAACUGUAUACACUGAAAGGUAUCCUGUCUGAGAGCCUGCAGUUAUAUUUUUCUUGUGAUUUUUCCUUCAGAACAAGAAAUCUGGCACAUUUAGAGGUUGGUCCCCUUAUUUCUGAAUCUCCUGCUCUUCUUUUCCCCCAUCUCCCUGGCCAUAUUCUGGUCUGGUUUUAUCAAAUUUUGGGUUGAUAAUUUGCAAGGGGAUGGUGCAGUUGUAUCAAAAUUCUGACCACGAGAAACCACACGUGGUAUCACUUUAAAUCAAAUAACUUAAAAUAAUAAUAAUAAUUUGUUCCAUCUCCUCUCCUUGAAUUCUCUCAGUCUUUGAAUUUUUCCUCCUUUAAUAUUCUGUCUAUAAUCCUGUUUUCUUCCAGACCCUGCUGUUCAGCUGUUACUGAAACAUCGUCUUCAAAAACACCGAGCGGGGAAAUGUUGAUUUGUUUUGAUCUCAGGGGAAAUAAUGUAACUCGGCAACAAGCCCACCAGCAGCAACUUUUAAUACACAGCAAGACAACUCCCAGAGAAAUCACCUUCCUCUUGGGCUGCAUACACAUAUUUAAUUGCAUUUAAUUCUUGAGUGCUGGUGUAACUCAGUUCAGCUCCAUAAAUAAUUGGGAGUUUUGGUUCACUGGCUGAACCAGAGGAUACUGGAGGAAAAAAAAAAAUAAAAAAUCCCAUAAACCAUUCGGUUUCA
Molecule: long non-coding RNA, 1150 nt
Filed under: Cyanistes caeruleus (blue tit)
Lineage: Eukaryota; Metazoa; Chordata; Aves; Passeriformes; Paridae
Description: lncRNA (ENSCCEG00000012167.1)
Source: RNAcentral